AAAUUUAUUUCCCUUAAUAGAGGCUCACCUCCUCCUAUUUAAAGGGGAGGGAUCUCUCUCCUUCAUUCCUCACCUAGUCGAGCCUGGCAGCGGGAGGAACGAGGAGUUACACCCUGUUGACAAGAGAACGAGGAGUUACACCCUAUUGACAAGAGGUAGGUUUCCCUACCUUUCUUAAAAGUUUUAGCUUUUAUUUUGAUUCUUUAAAUGUUGAAAGUUUUAUAGUUUGAAAAAUGUGUAUCAAUUCUUUAAAUGUCAAAUUUUUUAUAUUAAAAUAAUCAGUUAAAGUAUUCAUAAUAUUCUUUGACCCAUGAUUAAGGUUUUUAUUGU
Molecule: long non-coding RNA, 330 nt
Filed under: Musa acuminata (dwarf banana)
Lineage: Eukaryota; Viridiplantae; Streptophyta; Magnoliopsida; Zingiberales; Musaceae
Description: long non-coding RNA (MACU_LNC011028)
Source: RNAcentral